RNAcentral lists this ribosomal RNA (360 nucleotides) under Isoptericola sediminis. Its description in RNAcentral is "Bacterial small subunit ribosomal RNA". It matches the Rfam family "Bacterial small subunit ribosomal RNA", at positions 1 to 362 of the family's 1533-position model. The record is from Rfam by way of RNAcentral. Lineage: Bacteria; Bacillati; Actinomycetota; Actinomycetes; Micrococcales; Promicromonosporaceae.
UUCACGGAGAGUUUGAUCCUGGCUCAGGACGAACGCUGGCGGCGUGCUUAACACAUGCAAGUCGAACGGUGAAGCCCAGCUUGCUGGGUGGAUCAGUGGCGAACGGGUGAGUAACACGUGAGCAACCUGCCCUCCACUUCGGGAUAAGCCCUGGAAACGGGGUCUAAUACCGGAUACGAGCACUCGACGCAUGUCGGGUGUUGGAAAGUUUUUCGGUGGGGGAUGGGCUCGCGGCCUAUCAGCUUGUUGGUGGGGUAAUGGCCUACCAAGGCGUCGACGGGUAGCCGGCCUGAGAGGGCGACCGGCCACACUGGGACUGAGACACGGCCCAGACUCCUACGGGAGGCAGCAGUGGGGAAU